UAUAUAUACAUAUAUAUAAUAUAAUAUACUCGUAUUAUAUUAUUAAAGAAACGAGAAAAACGCGUCUUUCGCCCGUUGUAUACUCGCGAGCGCGCGCGCGAAUCGAUUUGUAACCGUCUCAAAGAGCUUUUCCACUUUGGCAAAUUACACCGGCGGACGGCGAAAGGAAACAAGUAGCGGGGAGGCUGGGGGAAAAAAGAGGAAAGAGAACGCGACAGGGGGAAAAAAAAAUAAAGGGGGAAAAGAAGAAAAAAAAAGAAAAAGGAAAGGUGCGUGCGUUAUGUCUUUACGGGUAUAUGAAAGCCGAGGAAAAAUAAUCGAGAGAAAACGAACUUUCCGUAAUGGCGCAAUAAAUAUCUAAAAGUAUAGCAGUCGUGCCGCUGCACGGUAUAUUAUGAGAAGGGGUGCGUAUAAAUACAUUUUUGAACUCGGAGGCGGGACGCCGUUAUAUUUAUACGUGUGUGGGAUAUAAGAGAAGAGGGUGCCGGUGAAAGAUCGUCGGGUUUUUUUUUUUCUUUCCGCUUUUCCCGUAAUGUACAAAACGUAUAGGAGAUUAAAUUUAUUUAGCAAAAAAAAAAAAAAAAAAAAAAAAAAACACUAAACAAAAUUCGUUUAUCGUCGCGUGCCGUACAAUAAAAUAUCGAUUCGAUUAAAAACCGGUUUCGC
Molecule: non-coding RNA, 666 nt
Organism: Cinara cedri
Lineage: Eukaryota; Metazoa; Arthropoda; Insecta; Hemiptera; Aphididae
Source: the annotation of a GenBank genome assembly